Molecule: long non-coding RNA, 247 nt
Filed under: Elaeis guineensis (African oil palm)
Lineage: Eukaryota; Viridiplantae; Streptophyta; Magnoliopsida; Arecales; Arecaceae
Description: long non-coding RNA (EGUI_LNC030719)
Source: RNAcentral
UGGUUAAGAGGACAAUCAACCUAUAUAGUAUACAAUGACCUACAUUUGAUAUGUCUAUCGUCCUAAUAAUAGCAUAUCAUUUGGUCGUGAACUCAUUUAAGGACUAAACGAUAUAUCCUCUUAUAUCAAAUCAAAUAGUCCUAAGGACUUCAUCCCAUAACAAGAGUUUAAAAUGAGAUGUACACAGUGAUGAAAAAUUAAAUAAUAUUUAUUAAUUCAAUAAUUUAUAUACAAUUACAAUGAUAAA